Etheostoma spectabile (orangethroat darter) is the source of this 980-nucleotide long non-coding RNA. RefSeq lists it as uncharacterized. The record is from RefSeq and is a predicted model, not a curated record. The transcript has 4 exons. Lineage: Eukaryota; Metazoa; Chordata; Actinopteri; Perciformes; Percidae.
CGAGGAGAUUGGCACAGAAACGCAGCGCCACGACCACUCCAGCAGCAUACUACGUCUGUUUGGUACGGACUGCUGAAACUUGUGCGCAGAGAGGCGGAUAGAUUCUCUCGUCCCAGAUAGAGGAUUAAAUUCACGCUUUCUUUUCUUUUUUCCCCCUUUUUCUACUCCUCCUCCUCCUCCUCCUCCUCCUCUGGUUUCGUGUUACAAAGCCUUGGGAGGGAGUUGCGCGGAGAGCCAGUUCCUCCGUGUUACAAACUGAAUGACAGGAUCAUAUGGCUGGAUUUGCCUUAUAGUCCAACCAUUAAAAACAGAAAAGGUAGAGGAAAUAAAAAAGGAGAGAAGAGGGAAGCCGCGGGCGAAUUCAUCUGAAAUUGAUGAGGGUGUGGAAUAAUUUAUAAGUCAAAUUCAAAAAACAAAAUCCGAGAUAACGGAGAAAGAAGAGAGGGAGGGGGAAAAGGAUACUAGAUCUGUCGUCAGAGAAAGACUGGGAGACGGAGAGGAAAGCGCAGGACGCGUUGCCUGUAAUCACCACCACCAUCCCCGUAAUAAUAAGCCCAAUGUGACCUUCAUCUGAGUCAAGUGUCUUCAUUCAGCAUUCACUGCGACGAGAGUGGCGGAGAAAAAACUGAAUUGGAUAUUAAGAAGAAAGCUCACAGACACGCGAGGGAGGAGAAGAAAAAAAAGCUGCCAGGAGCCGGGCUGCUCUAUCCAGUCCCUCCGAUCAACAGAUUGAUUCCUCGAUCCAUCACGCCAACGCCAGUUCCGACGAAUGGGAGCUGACAUGGGAGCCCUGGGCGGGACCAAGGUCUUGCUCCUGGUGUUUCUGGUUGGAUUGGAGAAGUCGCUGGGUCUCAACUGGAACCCCAUCCCACGCAAGACUGUUCGGUACCGAGAGUUUUGGACAGCAUGCACGGGGAGCGUUCGGGGGGUUUUUAACUACACAUUGCUCUGUCGAAACCCCGAGGGGUUUUUUUACGUCG